UUGCCAGCCCGCUCAGAAACUUAAAUGAAUUGACGGGGGCCCGCACAAGCGGCGGAGCAUGUGGAUUAAUUCGAUGCAACGCGAAGAACCUUACCUGGGUUUGACAUACACCGGAAAACCGUAGAGAUACGGUCCCCCUUGUGGUCGGUGUACAGGUGGUGCAUGGCUGUCGUCAGCUCGUGUCGUGAGAUGUUGGGUUAAGUCCCGCAACGAGCGCAACCCUUGUCUUAUGUUGCCAGCACGUGAUGGUGGGGACUCGUAAGAGACUGCCGGGGUCAACUCGGAGGAAGGUGGGGACGACGUCAAGUCAUCAUGCCCCUUAUGUCCAGGGCUUCACACAUGCUACAAUGGCCAGUACAGAGGGCUGCGAGACCGUGAGGUGGAGCGAAUCCCUUAAAGCUGGUCUCAGUUCGGAUCGGGGUCUGCAACUCGACCCCGUGAAGUCGGAGUCGCUAGUAAUCGCAGAUCAGCAACGCUGCGGUGAAUACGUUCCCGGGCCUU
RNAcentral lists this ribosomal RNA (501 nucleotides) under uncultured Rhodococcus sp. RNAcentral's name for it is "bacterial SSU rRNA". It matches the Rfam family "Bacterial small subunit ribosomal RNA", at positions 903 to 1382 of the family's 1533-position model. Lineage: Bacteria; Bacillati; Actinomycetota; Actinomycetes; Mycobacteriales; Nocardiaceae. The record is from RNAcentral.